Molecule: ribosomal RNA, 402 nt
Filed under: Bacteroidota bacterium
Lineage: Bacteria; Pseudomonadati; Bacteroidota
Description: Bacteroidetes bacterium partial 16S ribosomal RNA
Rfam family: Bacterial small subunit ribosomal RNA
Source: RNAcentral
UGGGGAAUUUUGCACAAUGGGGGAAACCCUGAUGCAGCGACGCCGCGUGAUUUAGAAGGCCUUCGGGUUGUAAAAAUCUUUUCUAUGGGAAGAAAAUGACAGUACCAUAGGAAUAAGGACCGGCUAAUUACGUGCCAGCAGCCGCGGUAAUACGUAAGGUCCGAGCGUUGUCCGGAAUCAUUGGGCGUAAAGGGUACGUAGGCGGGUAAGCAAGUUAGAAGUGAAAUCCUAUAGCUCAACUAUAGUAAGCUUUUAAAACUGCUCAUCUUGAGGUAUGGAAGGGAAAGUGGAAUUCCUAGUGUAGCGGUGAAAUGCGUAGAUAUAUGGAGGAACACCGGUGGCGAAAGCGGCUCUCUGGUCUGUAACUUACGCUGAGGCUCGAAAGCGUGGGGAGCGAACAGG